GACGAACGCUGGCGGCGUGCCUAAUACAUGCAAGUAGAACGCUGAAGGAGGAGCUUGCUUCUCUGGAUGAGUUGCGAACGGGUGAGUAACGCGUAGGUAACCUGCCUGGUAGCGGGGGAUAACUAUUGGAAACGAUAGCUAAUACCGCAUAAGAGUAGAUGUUGCAUGACAUUUGCUUAAAAGGUGCAAUUGCAUCACUACCAGAUGGACCUGCGUUGUAUUAGCUAGUUGGUGGGGUAACGGCUUACCAAGGCGACGAUACAUAGCCGACCUGAGAGGGUGAUCGGCCACACUGGGACUGAGACACGGCCCAGACUCCUACGGGAGGCAGCAGUAGGGAAUCUUCGGCAAUGGACGGAAGUCUGACCGAGCAACGCCGCGUGAGUGAAGAAGGUUUUCGGAUCGUAAAGCUCUGUUGUAAGAGAAGAACGAGUGUGAGAGUGGAAAGUUCACACUGUGACGGUAUCGUACCAGAAAGGGACGGCUAACUACGU
Molecule: ribosomal RNA, 494 nt
Filed under: uncultured bacterium
Lineage: Bacteria
Description: partial 16S ribosomal RNA
Rfam family: Bacterial small subunit ribosomal RNA
Source: RNAcentral